RNAcentral lists this ribosomal RNA (404 nucleotides) under Actinomycetes bacterium. RNAcentral describes it as "Actinobacteria bacterium partial 16S ribosomal RNA". It matches the Rfam family "Bacterial small subunit ribosomal RNA", at positions 355 to 776 of the family's 1533-position model. The record is from RNAcentral. Lineage: Bacteria; Bacillati; Actinomycetota; Actinomycetes.
UGGGGAAUUUUGGACAAUGGGCGCAAGCCUGAUCCAGCCAUGCCGCGUGAGUGAUGAAGGCCCUAGGGUUGUAAAGCUCUUUCACCGGUGAAGAUAAUGACGGUAACCGGAGAAGAAGCCCCGGCUAACUUCGUGCCAGCAGCCGCGGUAAUACGAAGGGGGCUAGCGUUGUUCGGAUUUACUGGGCGUAAAGCGCACGUAGGCGGACUAUUAAGUCAGGGGUGAAAUCCCGGGGCUCAACCCCGGAACUGCCUUUGAUACUGGUAGUCUUGAGUUCGAGAGAGGUGAGUGGAAUUCCGAGUGGAGAGGUGAAAUUCGUAGAUAUUCGGAGGAACACCAGUGGCGAAGGCGGCUCACUGGCUCGAUACUGACGCUGAGGUGCGAAAGCGGGGGGAGCAAACAGG